GGAACGGUGGCCGAGUGGCUGAAGGCAACGGUUUGCUAAAUCGUCAUACGAUCAAAAGUCGUAUCGGGGGUUCGAAUCCCCCCCGUUCCGCCA
This 93-nucleotide transfer RNA is filed under the name Sphingobacteriales bacterium. RNAcentral's name for it is "tRNA-Ser". It matches the Rfam family "tRNA". From Rfam's summary of the family: Transfer RNA (tRNA) molecules are approximately 80 nucleotides in length. Lineage: Bacteria; Pseudomonadati; Bacteroidota; Sphingobacteriia; Sphingobacteriales. The record is from RNAcentral.